Molecule: long non-coding RNA, 7081 nt
Organism: Centrocercus urophasianus (Greater sage-grouse)
Lineage: Eukaryota; Metazoa; Chordata; Aves; Galliformes; Phasianidae
Exons: 6
Source: RefSeq, a predicted model, not a curated record
CGGGGUGGGAGACGGGCGCGCUGAAAUGCGCUCAGGCAGAGGUGGCCGUGAGUGCAAGGCUGGGUUGCACGCGAGAAUUCGCAGUGAAAGGGUCUGCAGGAAAGCAGGGCUUCUCGUAUGAUGGAAGCAGAAAUUCACCUUCAGAGUUCGUCCCUAAGGGAAACGCGACGGGACUCUAGCAGUUGGAUUUCAGCAAGCUGCUGCUGCACACUUGUGUUUCCCGUUGGAUUUGGUGAGGUCCAAGAGAGUCCAAAGCUCUGUGCUUAAAAAAGCACUUAAGAAGGGAAACUACUACCAGCGAAGCAGAAAUGCAGAGCAGCCCUGCUACUACUGUGGAUGACCUGAAGUUCUAGGCUGGACCUACAGCCAGAAAUGCUUGCCUUGCUACUUGAUAAGAUGUGAGAGACAACACUUCUCCUUCAAGAUUUAAGAUAUUGUUCUUCUGGAGGAAAACACUGUAAGCAAUCCGAGAUGCACUUUUUGUUUGAAUCUCAUUUUUCCAAAAAGGUACUGCUGUGGUAUGCUUAGAAUAUUUGGACUUUCCUGUAAGAAUCUAUCUGCCAGUAACACAGGCUGAAAAACGAGGUGAAAAAAACACUUAAUUGCUACCAAAUUAAUACUUCAUCUUUGUAUCUUAGUGUCAUUUUCUCUUACUGUGUAUUUUGGUAUACAGCAACAGUAAAUGAAGCGUGCUUCUCUCUUAGAUUUGGUUGCUGUUUUUGUUUGGUUGUUUGUUUGUUUUUGUUGGUGCAGGUUGACUUCCAUCAGCUCUGGAUGGAAUGGAACUGGCCUACCUGCCUGCUUGUAAGACUGGCCUUCAUGUUCCUGUGCUGGAAGAGGACAGAGGAGCUCUGGGAAAGGGCACUGCGCUGUUUUGAACUGGUGUGCUCACACACCGUGGAGCUGCUUCCAUGCCCUCAUAUCACACCGGAGCCUUGGUUGUUUUCUGCAGAUUCUCCUCUGCAGUCUGGUUCGAAGCUUGCGAGCUGAAACCAGUUCCACAGCUUCCCUGGCACUCUGCUUUAAAAGUUGCUCUCUGGCUCCAUCUUCUGUUUUGUUUGCUGAGUUUUGUUUUUCUUUUCUAGCUUUGGUAUAGCAGGGAGAGAUUUUUCUGAGUUUUAUAAAGUGUACUUGUUUUAAAAAGUAGGUAAUUGCUUCUUGUGUGACAGUUGUGACCACCAGGUGAGCAGGUGGCCCGUGGGGACCUGGCCUUUCCCAGCUCUACCAUUAGCCCUGGUUUUAGAUACUUGUUUCUGCAACGCUGUUACUGCUGGUAGAACCAGAAGAAAACAGCCCCAAAAGCAGCGUUUUCCCUUUUGGGUAACUGUUUUGCAAAAUGGUGGCAUGAUCUGACAACACAGUGACACCUUGCAAACCUUUCAGCUAGAACUGGAAAGCAUUGGGGCCAGCAAGUAUGAGUGAGAUGACUUCAAUAAACAGCUUGAAUUUUGUGGAUACUAACAAAAACAGUCCUUCAGUUGAGUGCUGAGCAAUUAUACAUGUGUAAUAUUUAUAAUACCAGGAACAAGCUUUUCAUAAAGAAAAAAAAAACGAUUUUCUGUUGAUUAAAUUUGAGGCCAGAAGACAUGCCCCUGUGAGCUGUGAAAUAAACUGAUUGCGGUUGCUCUCACUCUGCAAGAGGAACUAAUGUGGGAGAGAAGCUGCGCUCUUCCCGAUUCAGUGCUUAGUUUCAAAAGUGCUCCACUGACAGCAAGCCAGAUUUCAGCUUCCGAAGCCUCUUCCUCAAUCACCCAUGCAGAACCAAAGGGCUUGUACACACAAAAGGUAAAAACACUUGGCAACAAGUAGAGGCACCUCUCAAUAGCCAUCAAAUGCAGCAGCGGCUUACUCCUGCCCAUGAUUUUCUACUCUGCUGGUAAGCUAAAUGUCUUAUCACUUUAUACUACAUGGGAUUUACUGUUUCCUCAAAGCCUGUAGCUCAAUGCAACUGCAAAAAAUUUGUCCUUAAAAUUCUCUCCUUUGCAGUUGCCUCUUUUGUCAGCAGUGAUAGCCUUCAUGAGAUAGUUACUAAAAAAUUGAUUUCAGAUGUUACAUCAUUCUUAGAAGCAUGUGGGAAAUAGAUAUAGAUCCAUUCUUCGUAUAGAAAGGCAAACUUCACAGAGCACCAAAGGAUUCAGUGGGAAAUACAUUUGUCCAUCUUCCUCAAAAAUACAAACUGUUGUAAAACUACACUCUUAUUUUGCUCCAGAUAUUUAUCAUUCAUUCAGUGAACAAUACUGCCUAUCACAUUUCUGAUAACAAAUCCUUCUUGUUAUUAGUUUUAUGUGGGCAUUAAGAGAAUGGGGACCUAUCAGAAAUCAGAUCUGCUGUAUACAGAAGUUCUGAAAAAAAGAAAGAUUAGCUUUAAAACAUACGCAAGGCAGUAUGCAUAGCACCUUGCUGAGAAGAAGUACACUAAUUUUUAGCUGCCAUGUAAUUGCUGUUGGCUUUGUAACUGACUGUGAACAUGUGAGAACAAAAAAGUGAUGCUGUGUCAGUGUGUGGGCUGCAAAUGAGAACUCCUGGCUCAUGCAUUUUGCCCCAUAAGCAGUUCUGGCAUUGUAUGCAGUCUUAUUGCUGUUUCCUUUGUCCUCACUGAUCCAGCUAUAGUAUCACUCACAUUUUGGGCUUCCAGCUUGGUGUCAAAAAUUUCUGUAAUUUAAAUCACUGUCUUUUUGGUGGAACACUCUGAUCACUAAUUCUUAUAAGCUCAUUAUUCUUGUAUUUUUCUAGGCCUCAGGACUUCAGAACUUGUUCUAGAUCUUCCUUCUCUGUGAUAUUGAAGAAUCAAUACAUUCAUAUUCUAUUUGGAAAAUGGAUUAAAGUCACCUAUGUAACUUGGUUAAAAGCACUGGAUUUUCCUAGGACAGCAAAAUACUUUCAACCAACUGAGCAUAUAGAAGUCAAAAAGAUCAAAAGACCUUGGACACGAGAGGAAGUUUAUGAAGGAAAAUAUUAGAACUGAUCCUGAAGCGCUCAAGGCUUUCCGAUUGCAACAUCGUGAAAUUCAAAGCCAUCUGCAACAACAAAAGAACCCAUUACUGACCAAGCAGCACUGCUGGAUGAAGACUGUUAUUAUGAUGAAGAGUUACACUUACAAUUCAAGGUUCAUUACAAGCUGGUCUCAACUCUCUUCUAAAAUUUUCCUUGUGAGAAAUGCUUUUGUGAUUUCAUCUUGGUGAGAAUUAUCCUUUUAUACUUUUCAAAGCAAUGUUUUAAGUGUCUUUCCUUCCCAUUUGGGAUUUUUCUGCAAGAAGUCACUUUCUGCAAGUUACUGCCAAGCAGAUUUGCCCACUGUGGGCUUGACUUUGCUGUGCAAGAUUUUGGACCUUUUUAACAAGUAAGUUUUGUAUCAGGGCUUCAACAUUCAUCUGAAAGCAGAAACAAACCCAAUCUCCUUGUAUUUUAAUUGUAUCUUUUGCAUAAUGUGCUCAACAAACAGUCGCAAACAUCUAGCCAAAGGUGCUUUAAGUCAGGGAAUACAGACAAACACAUUUCUUCCUCGGAUGAAAAGACGCUUUGCUUUUUAUCAGGUUUGUUUUAUUCUAGAAUACUGGUGUCUUCGCUUUAUAGAUGGCCUUUGUAGAGAGUUCCAGUUACUUGUUGAGGUUUGAUAAGUUUUCAUUAAAUGCUAAGUGGCAAAAGGCAGCCCAAGAGGCACUGAUUCCAUCUGACACCAGUCACAUGGUUUCGUAGAGCAAUCAGUUGCAUCUUUCUUUUACAGUAUAUUCUGUUUUGGGGCAGUGCAUAAUAAUCACAUUUUGAGUAAAGGCUGGAUAAUAAAUUUUACCACGUGCCAAUACUGUAAAGAAAAGACUCCUAGCUCUCAAAUACUGCAUGCAGGUAUGGUACCUCAGUGGGAUACACUUUAGGGAUGAAUGCACAAUUCUGCCUUCUAGUUUACUAUGACCAUACCGAUUACUCUGGCCAUUCAAAAUAAAUAAAAUAGACCCCCUUGUUUUGCCUCCCUGCAAAGCCGCUUGUAGAAUAUUUUUAGCUGCAACCAUUCCAUGCUCCAAGCCGACUGUAGCAGCAAUUGGUGUUCUUGCACCACUUGAUUAGUUGGAUAAAUUCUGCAUGCUCAUGUCUGGGAUCCAUGGCAAUAGAGUUACGUUGCUAUGCUAUGAAAUGUGCAGGAGGGUGCAACCCUUGAGAAGGGAUAUGAUUUCUGGAGCUGAUGAAACUUUGCAGCGUAGGCAAGAAAGAAUGCUUAAGGCAACAAACAGAAGAAAUCUCUGGAAUGGUGACAAGUAUCACUCAGGUUGGUGGGUAUAGGCAGAGCACCCAUCUCUCAGGGAAACAGCUAUCUGGAAAUUGUUAAAAAAUUAUGUUGUGGGCAAAGAUUAUCCUAAUUCUGUGCUGGACAUCUGAGAAGAGAGCACAUGGCAGCAGCAUGUAUAACAGGUAUUUAUGUGAAGGGCUGAAUUAACCCAUCGUGAUACGUACAGGAGCUUUUAGUCAGGGCUAGUAAAGUGAGAAAACUAAAAGCCAGGAUUCUAACUAAAAGCUAAAAAACAGAGAUUGCUGCAAGCAGUCUCUCACAAACUAUCUGAUAGAUGUAACUAUUAUUUCUGGCCUUACUGAUGACAGGAUUUCUUUUUCUCCCCUGGCACAAUAAGCAAAAGUAUCCUCAGACCUGUUGUUUCAGUGAAUGCAAAAAACUCUUCCUGUUUUCAUGGCCUGGGAAGAGGAGGGAAGAUGAGAAGUCUGUACCUGUAUUAUUCCCUGGGCACUGUGGUACCAUCAGGAAUCAAGUGGACUGCUGCUGCCAGCAUCUCAAAGAUGAAUAAAUUCAAGAAAAAGGAGGUGGGGAAAAAGAAAUAAAAAAAAAAAGGUAAAAAUACCUAUGCUUUCACAUGCCAGAGAGGUUUUCUGUUCUCUUUGGGUCUUGACACUGCUAGCUGAAUUACCCAAGAGACUGAAUUUAAAAGCUUGGAGUUGUGAAAGGUUUUUGUUCUUGACCAGGAUCCUACCUGAAGUGAAAGGAGCAAUGUAACACAUCUGGAAGGAUACAUAAGGACUGUAAAUCUACUAAAAUUCUACUGCCUUAUUAGAACUGUAAUCUUGAAAUGUUUGUUCUAAGCAGUUUUCUCCACGUUAAAUUUAAUAUUUCCCUAAAGUGCCAAAUAGAAAAGGCUCUGCUCUGUUAAACACUGUUAAAAACAUAUGAAGACAACACGUAGCCCAGAAGACCUUUCAAUCUAAGGCCAGUAAUACCAAAGGAAAAGCAGGUAUCAAAUAAACAGUCUUAAUUUGAUUUUAUCUUUGUCUUCUAUUCAGGUGCCUUAAAACCUUUCCAUCAUUAAUUGACUGACUUCCACUGUCACAGCACAGAUGGUCCUCAAAGAGAUUAGUUUUUCCUCAGAAAAUAAUCUUACUAUGCACUUCCAUCACAACGCACUUUUGAAAAGCUUAAGUACUUCACAAAUAUUCAUGAACUUCAUCUCUUGGUGCCCACAUUCAGUCUGGACAGUUAGAAAACAAUCUAUUUCAAACCAUCCUAACCCCAAUUUCCUUGAAAUUCCACAUUAACUAUUCUACCCCUGGAUGGCAAACUUGUGUUCUCUGUGCUCCGAGCUAUUGAGCCAGGAAACAGCAAGGGAUUUGGAUGAAUGAAGUAGUGGUGGGGAGUACAAAAAUCCCUAGGAAGCUUCAAGAGCUAUCCUCUGGGCUUCCCGAUCCACAAGCACUGAAAAUGAAGCUGUGUUUGAAAAUGGGCCAAGAGAAGCCAGAAUGCAACUUCUUCUAGGGGUCAUCAUUCUGCAGAGUGGCGUAGUUUCACUGUGCUGGGAAAGCUAAAGUACAGGCUUCUAAAAGGUGCCAGACAGUCUUGAAGGCAGACAGCUGCCUCUGCAAAAUUUAGAAAAAUAGGCAUUCUUGGUCAAAGUCCUAGAGUAUAGAUAAAAAACUGAGAUCAAAUUAUCUUAAUGUCACUUUUCUGAAAAAAUGUUAGGGAUAACAUCUUAUCUGAGCCUUCUCAGAGCUUUAUAGUUACCUGAAUUACAGUUUCUCUUUGGGAACAAUUUCAGGAACAGAGAGAAAAAAAAGAGUAAGGUAAAAAAAUCACUGAAUAUAAAAUAGAGAAAAACAAUCCAUCUAACAAUAUAAGUUCCCAUGUAGUCAAGUUCAGGACAAGUGGAAAAUAUCAUUUUAUUUAUAAAUAAAGCAAAUAAACCAAAUGCACAGAGCUUGACUAAAGGAAGACUAAAGGGAAUAUGAUGCAAGCACUAAAACUCAGAAUGCUAUACAGGGAUAUAUGUUUUAGUGAUGAGCAUCAAACCAAGCAAUGGAAAAAUUAAAACUUCCAAUUGUGAAAAAAAAAGUGUGGAGAUGACAAAUUACAAGGCUAUGGAAUGGGAUUUUAAUGGAAGCUCUGAAAAAUCUACCUGUGUCAUUAAAACCUGAGCAGACCAAGAUCUUCACAUCUUUGUGAAAUUGUUCUGUGUACAGGAGGAGAAAGGCAAUUUAAAAUAAACAAAUAAACACAUAAAAUAUUAAAGUUUAACUGCCAGUUGUACUUCAAGCCUGUGGUUUAGGACAAAAUAAGCCUAACACUCUGAUAAUAUAACAAAAAUUCAGUGAAUAUUCACUGGGAGAAGUUGUUUACCUUCAAGGAAAAGAGAAACAAACAAACAAACAAACAAACAAAACAGUAACAGUAUAUCAAAAGCCUUUUUUAUUUUUAAAUAGUUAUAUUUUCCGGCUCAUAUUUUAUACUCAUACUCGUAUUUAUAUUUUGCUUUACAGUGCUAGCAUUUCAAUUUUAACUGAAAGUUGCACUUUUAAUACUGCUCUGUUUGUCCUCAGAUGGACAAUGCCCACUCUGAAGAUGAGUACAUGAGUAUUCUUAGAUAUGGAUGUACUCUCAUAAUCCCCUAUGGAUGCAUGAAAAAUAAUAAACAAAAACUGUGAACGAAAGAAGCUGGAAUUGUUUUCAUUAUUGGUACAACAAGAUUAUUCCUUCAGACAGAACCAUGCUGAAUUAAUUCACCUAGAUUUAGGAGAAAAGCUAGAACAAGCUCAUUUAGCCUGUACGUGGGGUAUAAUUCUGCCCAUCAUGUAGAAGGGCUUAAAUCAAAGA